Molecule: ribosomal RNA, 253 nt
Filed under: uncultured bacterium
Lineage: Bacteria
Description: partial 16S ribosomal RNA
Rfam family: Bacterial small subunit ribosomal RNA
Source: RNAcentral
UACAGAGACUGCAAGCGUUAUUCGGAUUCACUGGGCGUAAAGGGUGCGCAGGCGGCCGUGUGUAUCAGGUGUGAAAUCCCGGAGCUUAACUCCGGAACUGCGCCUGAAACUACAUGGCUAGAGUAUUGGAGAGGGUAACGGAAUUCACGGUGUAGCAGUGAAAUGCGUAGAUAUCGUGAGGAACACCAGAGGCGAAGGCGGUUACCUGGACAAUUACUGACGCUCAGGCACGAAAGCAUGGGGAGCAAAAGGG